This 75-nucleotide transfer RNA is filed under the name Nanobdellota archaeon. RNAcentral's name for it is "tRNA-Ile". It matches the Rfam family "tRNA". Rfam says of the family: Transfer RNA (tRNA) molecules are approximately 80 nucleotides in length. Their secondary structure includes four short double-helical elements and three loops (D, anti-codon, and T loops). The record is from RNAcentral. Lineage: Archaea; Nanobdellati; Nanobdellota. RNAcentral also lists the same sequence under 1 other name.
GAGCCUAUAGCUCAGCCUGGUUAGAGCACCGCUCUUAUAAGGCGGGGGUCCGAGGUUCAAAUCCUCGUAGGCUCA